This 306-nucleotide ribosomal RNA is filed under the name Triticum aestivum (bread wheat). Its description in RNAcentral is "partial small subunit ribosomal RNA". The record is from RNAcentral. Lineage: Eukaryota; Viridiplantae; Streptophyta; Magnoliopsida; Poales; Poaceae.
AUGGUGUUUACGUGCCAGUUCAGCAAGAGAUGUUGGGACACACUGCAUAUUCAGUGGCCGAGCUUUGAUGACAGAUUGAAUGCUCUACAAAAUGCGCGAAUAGCCUGGCCUAACCCUUUCUUCACUGAAGUUUUCCUGACGGCUGCGUGGAGUUUGUGGAAAGAAAGAAACAACAAGCACUUUAGAGGGAUCAAUCCCACUUUUGGGUCCUGGCGCGCACGCUUCCAAGAGGAUUUGGGACUGCUACAACAUAGGAUAAAAGCUGCUCACAGGGCGUCCUUCCUCACAUACUGGGCCACACUUUGA